This 492-nucleotide ribosomal RNA is filed under the name uncultured bacterium. RNAcentral's name for it is "partial 16S ribosomal RNA". It matches the Rfam family "Bacterial small subunit ribosomal RNA", at positions 29 to 507 of the family's 1533-position model. The record is from RNAcentral.
AGUGAACGCUGGCGGUAGGCCUAACACAUGCAAGUCGAACGGCAGCACAGUAAGAGCUUGCUCUUACGGGUGGCGAGUGGCGGGCGGGUGAGGAAUACAUCGGAAUCUACUUUUUCGUGGGGGAUAACGUAGGGAAACUUACGCUAAUACCGCAUACGACCUACGGGUGAAAGCAGGGGAUCUUCGGACCUUGCGCGAUUGAAUGAGCCGAUGUCGGAUUAGCUAGUUGGCGGGGUAAAGGCCCACCAAGGCGACGAUCCGUAGCUGGUCUGAGAGGAUGAUCAGCCACACUGGAACUGAGACACGGUCCAGACUCCUACGGGAGGCAGCAGUGGGGAAUAUUGGACAAUGGGCGCAAGCCUGAUCCAGCCAUACCGCGUGGGUGAAGAAGGCCUUCGGGUUGUAAAGCCCCUUUGUUGGGAAAGAAAAGCAGCAGGUUAAUACCCCGCUGUUCUGACGGUACCCAAAGAAUAAGCACCGGCUAACUUCGUG